RNAcentral lists this ribosomal RNA (440 nucleotides) under uncultured bacterium. Its description in RNAcentral is "partial 16S ribosomal RNA". It matches the Rfam family "Bacterial small subunit ribosomal RNA", at positions 338 to 795 of the family's 1533-position model. The record is from RNAcentral.
CCUACGGGUGGCAGCAGUGGGGAAUAUUGCACAAUGGGGGAAACCCUGAUGCAGCGAAGCCGCGUGAGUGAAGAAGUAAUUCGUUACGUAAAGCUCUAUCAGCAGGGAAGAAAAUGACGGUACCUGAGUAAGAAGCCCUGGCCAAAUACGGGCCAGCAGCCGCGGUAAUACGUAGGGGGCAAGCGUUAUCCGGAGUUAGUGGGUGUAAAGGGAGCGUAGACGGUGCACCAAGUCUGAAGUGAAAUGUAGCAGCUAAACUGCAGAACUGCUUUGGAAACUGGCGAACUUGAGUGUGGGAGGGGUAAGCGGAAUGCCAGGUGUAGCGGUGAAAUGCGUAGAUAUUAGGAAGAACACCGGUGGCGAAGGCGGCUUACUGGGCCGUAACUGACGUUGAGGCUCGAAAGCGUGGGGAGCAAACAGGAUUAGAUACCCUAGUAGUC